RNAcentral lists this ribosomal RNA (648 nucleotides) under uncultured bacterium. RNAcentral's name for it is "bacterial SSU rRNA". It matches the Rfam family "Bacterial small subunit ribosomal RNA", at positions 11 to 668 of the family's 1533-position model. The record is from RNAcentral.
GUUUGAUCCUGGCUCAGGACGAACGCUGGCGGCGUGCUUAAUACAUGCAAGUCGAACGGGGCCCAUCUGGUGGCAACACCAGGGAAGGCCUAGUGGCGAACGGGUGCGUAACACGUGAGCAACCUGCCCCGGAGUCCGGAAUAACAGUGGGAAACCGCUGCUAAUACCGGAUGACCCCACCGUCCCGCAUGAGACGAUGAGGAAAGGGUUCCCGCUUCGGGAGGGGCUCGCGGCCUAUCAGCUUGUUGGUGAGGUAACGGCUCACCAAGGCGACGACGGGUAGCUGGUCUGAGAGGACGAUCAGCCACACUGGGACUGAGACACGGCCCAGACUCCUACGGGAGGCAGCAGUAGGGAAUCUUGCGCAAUGGGCGAAAGCCUGACGCAGCAACGCCGCGUGGGGGAUGAAGGCCUUCGGGUUGUAAACUCCUUUUAGUGAGAACGAAACUGACGGUACCCACAGAAGAAGCCCCGGCCAACUACGUGCCAGCAGCCGCGGUGAUACGUAGGGGGCGAGCGUUGUCCGGAUUCAUUGGGCGUAAAGAGCUCGUAGGCGGUUCGGUAAGUCGGGUGUGAAACCUCCAGGCUCAACCUGGAGACGCCACUCGAUACUGUCGUGACUCGAGUCCGGUAGGGGACCAUGGAAUU